AACGAACGCUGGCGGCAUGCCUAACACAUGCAUGUCGAACGAGACCUUCGGGUCUAGUGGCGCACGGGUGCGUAACGCGUGGGAACCUGCCCUUAGGUUCGGAAUAACUCCCCGAAAGGGGUGCUAAUACCGGAUAAUGUCUUCGGACCAAAGAUUUAUCGCCUUUGGAUGGGCCCGCGUUGGAUUAGCUAGUUGGUAGGGUAAAAGCCUACCAAGGCGACGAUCCAUAGCUGGUCUGAGAGGAUGAUCAGCCACACUGGGACUGAGACACGGCCCAGACUCCUACGGGAGGCAGCAGUGGGGAAUAUUGGACAAUGGGCGAAAGCCUGAUCCAGCAAUGCCGCGUGAGUGAUGAAGGCCUUAGGGUUGUAAAGCUCUUUUACCCGGGACGAUAAUGACAGUACCGGGAGAAUAAGCUCCGGCUAACUCCGUG
This 433-nucleotide ribosomal RNA is filed under the name uncultured bacterium. RNAcentral describes it as "partial 16S ribosomal RNA". It matches the Rfam family "Bacterial small subunit ribosomal RNA", at positions 29 to 507 of the family's 1533-position model. The record is from RNAcentral.